RNAcentral lists this unclassified non-coding RNA (263 nucleotides) under plant metagenome. RNAcentral's name for it is "partial contains small subunit ribosomal RNA, internal transcribed spacer 1, and 5.8S ribosomal RNA". The record is from RNAcentral.
UUUCCGUAGGUGAACCUGCGGAAGGAUCAUUAUUGUAUAACCGAGGUGCGAGGGCUGUCGCUGACCCGAAAGGUCGUGCACGCCCGAGUGCCCUCACACACAUCCAUCUCACCCCUAAGUGCACCACCGCGUGGGUCCCCCUUUGGCUUGUUCGGAGGGGGGCUUACGUUUUCACACAAACUUUGUAUGUAGUGUAGAAUGUAUUUUUUGUUUUUGCGAUCACGCAAUCAAUACAACUUUCAACAACGGAUCUCUUGGCUCUC